GUGUCAGCAGCCGCGGUAAUACGGAGGGUGCAAGCGUUAUCCGGAUUCACUGGGUUUAAAGGGAGCGCAGGCGGAUUGGUAAGUCAGUGGUGAAAGGCUUGAGCUUAACUCGGGAACUGCCAUUGAUACUAUCAGUCUUGAAUAUUGUUGAGGUUUGCGGAAUGGGUCAUGUAGCGGUGAAAUGCAUAGAUAUGACCCGGAACACCUAUUGCGAAGGCAGCAGGCUAAACAAAGAUUGACGCUGAGGCUCGAAAGCGUGGGGAUCAAACAGGAUUAGAUACCCUGGUAGUCC
Molecule: ribosomal RNA, 292 nt
Filed under: uncultured bacterium
Lineage: Bacteria
Description: partial 16S ribosomal RNA
Rfam family: Bacterial small subunit ribosomal RNA
Source: RNAcentral